GAAAUGCGAUAAGUAAUGUGAAUUGCAGAAUUCAGUGAAUCAUCGAAUCUUUGAACGCACAUUGCGCCCGCCAGUAUUCUGGCGGGCAUGCCUGUUCGAGCGUCAUUUCAACCAUCAAGCCCCGCGCUUGUGUUGGGGACCUGCGGCUGCCGCAGGCCCUGAAAACCAGUGGCGGGCUCGCUGUCACACCGAGCGUAGUAGAUUUCUCAUCUCGCUCAGGGCGUGCUGCGGGUUCCGGACGUAAAAAAGCCUUAUUUUACCCAAGGUUGACCUCGGAUCAGGUAGGAAGACCCGCUGAACUUAAGC
This 306-nucleotide unclassified non-coding RNA is filed under the name plant metagenome. Its description in RNAcentral is "partial contains 5.8S ribosomal RNA, internal transcribed spacer 2, and large subunit ribosomal RNA". The stretch from base 1 to 105 matches the Rfam family "5.8S ribosomal RNA", at positions 50 to 154 of the family's 154-position model. The record is from RNAcentral.